AAGUCGUAACAAGGUUUCCGUAGGUGAACCUGCGGAAGGAUCAUUAACACGUAUCCAACGUUAAAACCCCCGUGAACCUACAGCCCUAUUCUUGUGCGCCCGUUCGGACAGCAAUCCCUAGUAAAUCAUUGUUGAACAGAGUUUGCAUCCUGGUGCCUUUUAGACGGUUAUCGUGUGGAAGUGACGAUAACGUUACCGUGUGUCAGUGACGGUAACCUGUCAACGAGGUGACUCCGAAACACGUUUGCUAGAGGUCACACGACCGGCAACCGGGAUCCAGGCCGAAAGGUCCCUAACCACCCCUCGCAAGAAUUUAGCGUGCACCUAACGGUCGUACGCACCCCCAAACUGAACAACUGUUAACAAUGGAUAUCUUGGUUCUC
Molecule: unclassified non-coding RNA, 383 nt
Filed under: fungal sp.
Lineage: Eukaryota; Fungi
Description: partial internal transcribed spacer region
Rfam family: Eukaryotic small subunit ribosomal RNA (bases 1-46)
Source: RNAcentral